RNAcentral lists this ribosomal RNA (253 nucleotides) under uncultured bacterium. Its description in RNAcentral is "partial 16S ribosomal RNA". It matches the Rfam family "Bacterial small subunit ribosomal RNA", at positions 524 to 776 of the family's 1533-position model. The record is from RNAcentral.
UACGGGGGGGGCAAGCGUUGUUCGGAAUUACUGGGCGUAAAGGGCUCGUAGGCGGCCAACUAAGUCAGACGUGAAAUCCCUCGGCUUAACCGGGGAACUGCAUCUGAUACUGGAUGGCUUGAGAUUGGGAGAGGGAUGCGGAAUUCCAGGUGUAGCGGUGAAAUGCGUAGAUAUCUGGAGGAACGCCGGUGGCGAAGGCGGCAUCCUGGACCAACACUGACGCUGAGGAGCGAAAGCCAGGGGAGCAAACGGG